This is a non-coding RNA of Lactuca sativa (garden lettuce), 1206 nucleotides long. The record is from RefSeq and is a predicted model, not a curated record. Lineage: Eukaryota; Viridiplantae; Streptophyta; Magnoliopsida; Asterales; Asteraceae.
UACCAUGGUCACCGCUUGCGGCCUCUUUGAAAUAUCUUUCGUCAUUCCCGAACAAUCUCUAUUAUCCACAGAAUCCCACCGCCUCAUACCACCUCCUUUCUCUGGUAUAGUCUACGCUCAAGAAAUCUUGGGCGUCUCCUGCCCUCCACCUACUCCAGCCUCUCUGAGUUUUACAAUCGUCGGCACCUACAAGCCCUAAAAGAACACCACCGAUCGAUUUUGCUCCUGCCCUCCACCGUGGGGGAGAUUGAUGCAGUCGUAGAUAGCGACUCCAAAACCCAAAUCGUAUUCCCCGUUAUUCCCCGUCCUCACCGCCAGAUUAAGCGAGGGAAGCUACCGGUACAUGCUUUUCGAAGCAUAUCCAAAAUUUCAACUGGCUUAUGCACAUCACGCGCCAAUCGCAGGUUGGAUAUGAAUUUUCGAAGAAAAUAUGUUCAGCCACACCAUCUGGGGUUUUGAUGUUAGAAGGGAAUGUAAUGUCCGAGAAUAUAGUGACGACAUGGUGGAAUGAAAUCUGGAUUUCCAAAUUCUGCUUCCAAACAUACCCUAAGAUUCUUAACUGAUACUUUUAUUCCUUACUUACCCUUUUUGCAAUUAAUCAUGACUGUUGUAGGUGCCAUUCUUCAACAUAGGGAUCAAUACAAUGGAUACAUUUUCACACGUUGGAGGCAAUUAUGCAGUAGGAAAUCCAGCUUAAUGAACUCCAACAUCAGGUUAUAGUUACCGGUCAAUGUGGGAAACGUAGUGAGAAAAGAGAGAGUUCUGGUAUGGUCUCCCUGUUGUGCCCAUAAGUAAAGAUAUUCAGGAAGGAAAAUCAUGAGAGGAGGAUUUCAAAGUGGAAAUCAUAUGUAGGAAACUAUUUUGUUGCAUAAACUGAUAAAUUGGAAAGUACAAUGCUAUAAAUGGUGAAUAAAUACAGUUUUAGCAUCCAAUUCAGGGUGGAAAAGAAACUAUUGUUCGUUCCUAGGAUGUCGUAACCGGAACUGGAACCGCUUUAUGUGAACAUAUGGAGGAAUUCAUGAUUCAAGGAGACAAUGAAGGACUUAAGUUGCAUAAAAACAACCAUUAGUCAGGCUGCAAAAGUUGUUAUUAGAAUGGAUGUUCCUAUAUCUAAAUGUGGCGAAGUUUGUAAAUAACAAUGGGUAUAUACGUAUUUUGAUUGGAUGACAUUUACAAUGAACAAACAACGGAAAACAAUUGUCCCCA